CCUACGGGAGGCAGCAGUGGGGAAUAUUGGGCAAUGGGCGCAAGCCUGACCCAGCAACGCCGCGUGAAGGAAGAAGGCUUUCGGGUUGUAAACUUCUUUUCUGAGGGACGAAGAAAGUGACGGUACCUCAGGAAUAAGCCACGGCUAACUACGUGCCAGCAGCCGCGGUAAUACGUAGGUGGACAGCGUUAUCCGGAUUUCGUGGGGGUAAAGGGCGGGUAGGCGGGAAAGCAAGUCAGAUGUGAAAACUCAGGGCUCAACCCUGAGCCUGCAUUUGAAACUGUUUUUCUGGAGUGCUGGAGAGGCAAUCGGAAUUCCGUGGGUAGCGGUGAAAUGCGUAGAUAUACGGAGGAACACCAGUGGCGAAGGUGGAUUGCUGGACAGUAACUGACGCUGAGGCGCGAAAGCGUGGGGAGCAAACAGGAUUAGAUACCCCGGUAGUC
RNAcentral lists this ribosomal RNA (443 nucleotides) under uncultured bacterium. RNAcentral describes it as "partial 16S ribosomal RNA". It matches the Rfam family "Bacterial small subunit ribosomal RNA", at positions 338 to 795 of the family's 1533-position model. The record is from RNAcentral.